Molecule: small RNA, 1745 nt
Filed under: Pongo abelii (Sumatran orangutan)
Lineage: Eukaryota; Metazoa; Chordata; Mammalia; Primates; Hominidae
Description: transcribed unitary pseudogene
Source: RNAcentral
AGGGCCAUGGCCUUCACAGACCUGCUGGAUGCUCUGGGCGGCAUGGGCCGCUUCCAGCUCAUCCACAUGGCCCUGCUGCUGCUGCCCUGCGGCCUGCUGGCCUGCCACAACUUCCUGCAGAACUUCACGGCUGCUGUCCCCCCCCACCACUGCCGGGGCCCUGCCAACCAUGCUGAGGCCUCCACCAACGACUCGGGGGCCUGGCUGAGGGCCACCAUACCCCUGGACCAGCUUGGGGCCCCUGAGCCCUGCCGGCGCUUCACCAAGCCUCAGUGGCCCCUGCUGAGCCCCAACUCCUCCGUCCCGGGCGCGGCCACGGAGGGCUGCAAGGACGGCUGGGUCUAUAACCGCAGUGUUUUCCCGUCCACCAUCGUGAUGGAGGUCAGAAGGGGCUGGGUGCGUGGGGGGGCUGUUGCCGAGGCCCAGUCUGAAGCGCCCACGUCUUCCCUGCAGUGGGAUCUGGUGUGUGAGGCCCGCACUCUCCGAGACCUGGCGCAGUCCGUCUACAUGGCCGGGGUGCUGGUGGGGGCUGCCGUGUUUGGCAGCCUGGCAGACAGGCUGGGCCGCAAGGGCCCCCUGGUCUGGUCCUACCUGCAGCUGGCAGCUUCGGGGGCUGCCGCAGCGUAUUUCAGCUCCUUCAGUGCCUACUGCGUCUUCCGGUUCCUGAUGGGCAUGACCUUCUCUGGCAUCAUCCUCAACUCCCUCUCCCUGUUGUGGAGUGGAUGCCCACCCGGGGUCGGACUGUGGCGGGUAUCUUGCUGGGGUAUUCCUUCACCCUGGGCCAGCUCAUCCUGGCUGGGGUAGCCUACCUGAUUCGCCCCUGGCGGUGCCUGCAGUUUGCCGUCUCUGCUCCUUUCGUGAUCUUUUUCCUUUAUUCUUGGUGGCUUCCAGAGUCAUCCCGCUGGCUCCUCCUGCAUGGCAAGUCCCAGUUAGUUGUACAGAAUCUGCAGAAGGUGGCUGCAAUGAACGGGAGGAAGGAGGAAGGGGAAAGGCUGACCAAGGAGGCGGUGAGCUCCUACAUCCAAAGCGAGUUUGCAAGUGUCCGCACCUCCAACUCAAUCUUGGACCUCUUCCGAACCCCGGCCAUCCGCAAGGUCACGUGCUGUCUCAUGGUGAUUUGGUUCUCCAACUCUGUGGCUUACUAUGGCCUGGCCAUGGAGCUGCAGAAGUUUGGGCUCAGCCUAUACCUGGUGCAGGCCCUGUUUGGAAUCGUCGACAUCCCGGCCAUGCUGGUGGCCACCGCCACCAUGAUUUACGUGGGCCGCCGGGCCACAGUGGCCUCCUUCCUCAUCCUGGCCGGGCUCAUGGUGAUCGCCAACAUGUUUGUGCCAGAAGGCAUGCAGAUCCUGCGCACAGCCCAGGCAGCGCUGGGCAAAGGCUGCCUGGCCAGCUCCUUCAUCUGUGUGUACCUGUUUACCGGCGAGCUGUACCCCACGGAGAUCAGGCAGAUGGGGAUGGGCUUUGCCUCGGUCCAUGCCCGCCUCGGAGGCCUGGCGGCGCCCCUGGUUACCACACUUGGGGAAUACAGCACCAUCCUGCCACCCGUGAGCUUUGGGACCACCGCAAUCCUUGCAGGGCUGGCCGUCUGCUUCCUGACCGAGACCCGCAACGCGCCCCUGGUGGAGACCAUCGCGGCCAUGGAGAGCAGGGUCAAAGAAGGCUCUUCCAAGAAACAUGUAGAAGAGAAGAGUGAAGAAAUUUCUCUUCAGCAGCUGAGAGCAUCUCCCCUCAAAGAAACCAUCUAA